UACGUAGGGGGCGAGCGUUGUCCGGAUUCAUUGGGCGUAAAGCGCGCGCAGGCGGCUCCGAGAGCCCGGCGUGAAAGCCCCCCGGCUCAACCGGGGGGAGGUCGUCGGGGGACCUCGGGGCUGGAGGCCGGGCAGGGGCGAGCGGAAUUCCCGGUGUAGUGGUGGAAUGCGUAGAGAUCGGGAGGAACACCAGUGGCGAAGGCGGCUCGCUGGGCCGGUCCUGACGCUCAGGCGCGAAAGCGUGGGGAGCGAUCGG
RNAcentral lists this ribosomal RNA (256 nucleotides) under uncultured bacterium. RNAcentral describes it as "partial 16S ribosomal RNA". It matches the Rfam family "Bacterial small subunit ribosomal RNA", at positions 524 to 775 of the family's 1533-position model. The record is from RNAcentral.